AAAGUCGUAACAAGGUUUCCGUAGGUGAACCUGCGGAAGGAUCAUUAAAGAAAUUUAAUAAUUUUGAAAAUGGAUUUUUUUGUUUUGGCAAGAGCAUGAGAGCUUUUACUGGGCAAGAAGACAAGAGAUGGAGAGUCUAGCCGGGCCUGCGCUUAAGUGCGCGGUCUUGCUAGGCUUGUAAGUUUCUUUCUUGCUAUUCCAAACGGUGAGAGAUUUCUGUGCUUUUGUUAUAGGACAAUUAAAACCGUUUCAAUACAACACACUGUGGAGUUUUCAUAUCUUUGCAACUUUUUCUUUGGGCAUUCGAGCAAUCGGGGCCCAGAGGUAACAAACACAAACAAUUUUAUCUAUUCAUUAAAUUUUUGUCAAAAACAAGAAUUUUCGUAACUGGAAAUUUUAAAAUAUUAAAAACUUUCAACAACGGAUCUCUUGGUUCUCGCAUCGAUGAAGAACGCAGCGAAAUGCGAUACGUAAUGUGAAUUGCAGAAUUCCGUGAAUCAUCGAAUCUUUGAACGCACAUUGCGCCCCUUGGUAUUCCAGGGGGCAUGCCUGUUUGAGCGUCAUUUCCUUCUCAAACAUUCUGUUUGGUAGUGAGUGAUACUCUUUGGAGUUAACUUGAAAUUGCUGGCCUUUUCAUUGGAUGUUUUUUUUCCAAAGAGAGGUUUCUCUGCGUGCUUGAGGUAUAAUGCAAGUACGGUCGUUUUAGGUUUUACCAACUGCGGCUAAUCUUUUUUUAUACUGAGCGUAUUGGAACGUUAUCGAUAAGAAGAGAGCGUCUAGGCGAACAAUGUUCUUAAAGUUUGACCUCAAAUCAGGUAGGAGUACCCGCUGAACUAAGCAUAUCAAUA
This 848-nucleotide ribosomal RNA is filed under the name uncultured eukaryote. RNAcentral describes it as "eukaryotic LSU rRNA". The stretch from base 410 to 563 matches the Rfam family "5.8S ribosomal RNA". The record is from RNAcentral.